AAACUAGGAAUCACCAUUCAAUAGGCAUUGACCGAACUGGGUCGAGCUAUUCGGUAGACUCUAGCCGAAGUUGGGUCUAUACCAUUCAGUAGACUCCAACCGAGGCUGGGUUUAUACCUUUUUCUCACAUUUAUGAUAGUAAUCAGAUCUAAGAAUUUUAUAAACUCUCGUUCUCUACACUGCUGCUUCAGGAGCAAGUUAGAAACUUGGAAAGACGAGAAAAGUAUUCUCCAGUCAAAAUUCGAUCAGAUUUAUAAACUUCAGAAUCGUACUCAUUCAUGAACGUAAUCAUGGUGUGCUUUAGGCAAUGUCUCGCAUGAUCAGAAGGUCUGUAGGAAUGAGCCAAAGAGCCAUGGAAACCUUGUUCGGGAGGUACUUCCGUUUGUAAUGCUUCGGGUAUAAGUCUUUAAAUGAAGAACAUGGCGGGGCUUAUUCAACUCUUCCAUGCUAGUGUUGGCUUCAAUGGUUUCUCAGCUACUUGUAGUCAAGUGGAGAUUCACAUUUUGUACCCGACAUACAGUGGUUUCUAUUAGAAACAUCCAAAUUAGGAAAAUCGAACUUGUGACGGUUUGACAAUGUACUAAAUUGGAGGGAACAAGAUUGUGAUUGGUGCUAUGGGAAUGAAUCAUCCAUAAGCAUCAAAAUUAGAACAUUUGGGUUCUAAGACAUGGUAUACACGAAAAUUUUGAGUUUUCAUGAAUGUAUUGUUUUAUGAAAAUUUCGAGUUCAAAGGCACUAAAUUUGAAACUACAAGUUCAAUUUAGUUUAUGAACGUUUAGUUCAUAAAAAAAAGGUUUCUGCAAGAACACAUAAUACAAAGUGUUGAUUUAAGUGCAGUGGAUUUAAGUUGCUUUGGGAUCUCAAGUGUGAGCGCUUCAGGACUACGAAAGGAUGUCAACGGUUCAAAGAAGAGAAAUAAAUUAUUGAAUCGUUAAUGUCCAAAAGUGGGCUUUAGGCUAAUAAUUGUCAAUUUCUUGUCAGAUUAAUGGAAUGCUGAUCACUUUUAAUUAAUUCAAUAGAUCGAGACCAUUCGGGGUUGAUCGUGGAAGAAAAAUAAUGACAUAUGGGUCAUAUUAGCUUUGGCUGGUGAUGGGUCAAGUGACAAGUAUAUUAUAGCUUAAUUAGCAUUAACAAAAAACGUCCCAAAAAUAUUUGGGUAUGGUUAAGAAGUAGGGGAUGCCAAAAUAUGGCAUCUGGUCGAAAAAAAAAAACCACAGCCCAACACGUUUGGGGUGGUUGUGUGAGGUGCGGCCAUGCAGUAAGUUGUAGGCCUUAAGUUAUAUGAAAUGGCUAGACAGCAGCCUAACUUGGCUGCAGGUUAGCGGGCCAGGGAAAUGAGGCAGAGCCCAGUAACGCUAGGCUUGCUGGCAAAGGCGCGAAGGAAGCCCAUUGGCUGCUGGUUUUUAUUUUUAGGCCAAAACACAGAAGCCCAUCGAAGUUGACUUUUGAGGGCACACCAAGUCGAGAGAAGCCCAGCAAGGGUUGUUAGCUUCUGGAACAGACUGAGGGCAUGAAGCCCAUGCACCAGGGAUCCAAGCGGCAUGCCUGGUCCUAAUUCGAGCAGUGAGCCCAGAUGACUGCCCAGUUGCUGACCCAAGCUUCAGGCUUAGCUUGAGCUUGGCG
Molecule: long non-coding RNA, 1623 nt
Filed under: Malus domestica (apple)
Lineage: Eukaryota; Viridiplantae; Streptophyta; Magnoliopsida; Rosales; Rosaceae
Description: long non-coding RNA (MDOM_LNC004326)
Source: RNAcentral